Molecule: ribosomal RNA, 253 nt
Filed under: uncultured bacterium
Lineage: Bacteria
Description: partial 16S ribosomal RNA
Rfam family: Bacterial small subunit ribosomal RNA
Source: RNAcentral
UACGGAGGGGGCUAGCGUUGUUCGGAAUUACUGGGCGUAAAGCGCGCGCAGGCGGUCUUCCAAGUCAGUGGUGAAAGCCCGGAGCUCAACUCCGGAACUGCCAUUGAAACUGUGAGACUUGAGGAUGAGAGAGGUGAGUGGAAUUCCCAGUGUAGAGGUGAAAUUCGUAGAUAUUGGGAAGAACACCGGUGGCGAAGGCGGCUCACUGGCUCAUUUCUGACGCUCAGGCGCGACAGCGUGGGGAUCAAACAGG